CCUACGGGAGGCAGCAGUAAGGGAUAUUGGUCAAUGGGGGAAACCCUGAACCAGCAACGCCGCGUGAGGGAAGACGGUUUUCGGAUUGUAAACCUCUGUCCUCUGUGAAGAUGAUGACGGUAGCAGAGGAGGAAGCUCCGGCUAACUCCGUGCCAGCAGCCGCGGUAAUACGGAGGAUGCGAGCGUUAUCCGGAUUUAUUGGGUUUAAAGGGUGCGCAGGCGGUCUGUUAAGUCAGCGGUCAAAGCCCGGGGCUCAACCCCGGCCCGCCGUUGAAACUGGCAGUCUCGAGUUGGAGAGAAGUAUG
RNAcentral lists this ribosomal RNA (305 nucleotides) under uncultured bacterium. RNAcentral's name for it is "bacterial SSU rRNA". It matches the Rfam family "Bacterial small subunit ribosomal RNA", at positions 338 to 661 of the family's 1533-position model. The record is from RNAcentral.